RNAcentral lists this unclassified non-coding RNA (345 nucleotides) under soil metagenome. RNAcentral describes it as "partial contains 5.8S ribosomal RNA, internal transcribed spacer 2, and large subunit ribosomal RNA". The stretch from base 1 to 120 matches the Rfam family "5.8S ribosomal RNA", at positions 35 to 154 of the family's 154-position model. The record is from RNAcentral.
GAUGAAGAACGCAGCGAAAUGCGAUACGUAGUGUGAAUUGCAGAAUUCAGUGAAUCAUCGAGUCUUUGAACGCACAUUGCGCCCCCUGGUAUUCCGGGGGGCAUGCCUGUCCGAGCGUCAUUGCUGCCCUCAAGCACGGCUUGUGUGUUGGGCCUCCGUCCUCCUCCCGGGGGACGGGCCCGAAAGGCAGCGGCGGCACCGCGUCCGGUCCUCGAGCGUAUGGGGCUUCGUCACCCGCUCUUGUAGGCCCGGCCGGCGCUUGCCGACACAUCAAUCUUUUUUCCAGGUUGACCUCGGAUCAGGUAGGGAUACCCGCUGAACUUAAGCAUAUCAGUAAGCGGAGGA